GCUGUGCUCUUCUAAGUGGGACUCCGAGCCUGGGCUAUUUCUGGCGCUGGCGCGGCUCCAGGAAGGCAUCCGCAUUUGCGACCAGGGGCGGCUGCGGUGGAGACUGGCCUGUCCUCAGCGCCCAGCACCGCUGCUCCCGGCAAACCGGAGCAUGCACCGCAGGCCAGCGGCCGAGUUCGCCCAUCCCAGCCAUCACUUUUCCAACUAGUCCUUAGAGAAGGGAAGAUGAGCGAGUCGAGCUCGAAGUCCAGCCAGCCCUUGGCCUCCAAGCAGAAAAAGGACGGCACUGAGAAGCGGGGCCGUGGCAGGCCGCGCAAGCAGCCUCCGAAGGAGCUCAGCGAAGUGCCAACACCUAAGAGACCUCGGGGCCGACCAAAGGGAAGCAAAAACAAGGGUGCUGCCAAGACCGGGAAAACCACCACAACUCUGGGAAGGAAACCAAGGGGAAGACCCAAAAAACUGGAGAAGGAGGAAGAGAAGGGCAUCUCGCAGGAGUCCUCACUGGAGGAGCAGCUUCCUUCUGGGACUGGACAGCUUUGAUCUGCUCCCAACCCCCCACCUCCCACCCCCCACCCCUUCCCUACACCCACCAUCACCACCGCCUCCAGCCACCACCCUCAUCUUCCACCUGCACCUUCACCACCACACUACACAACACACCAGCCGCUGCAGGUCCCUAUGGGCUGAGUGGAGAGGACUUUUCCCCUGGCCUCUUCCCAUCCCUACCCCCUCCUCCCCCCGUCCACCCACUCAUACACAUGUGCCCUCCUGGACAAGGCUAAUGUCCUGCUUAGCCGCACCCUGCACCUGCUGCGUCCCUGAUCCCUUGGUGGUGACAUUGCUCUCUGGGCUUUUGGUUUGGGAGCCACUUCUCUGCUCCUCCACUGUUGCCUCUGGCUUCCCAUAGAGGGGCCUGGGAGGGUUCCCCUGGUCUUAAAAGGGGCCCAAGCCCCCAUUCUGGCACACCCCACUC
This 973-nucleotide long non-coding RNA is filed under the name Homo sapiens (human). RNAcentral's name for it is "long non-coding RNA NONHSAT184975.1". Lineage: Eukaryota; Metazoa; Chordata; Mammalia; Primates; Hominidae. The record is from RNAcentral.